UACAGAGGGUGCGAGCGUUGUCCGGAAUCACUGGGCGUAAAGGGCGCGUAGGUGGUGGCUUAAGCGUGCGGUGAAAGCUCGGGGCUCAACUCCGAGUCGGCCGUGCGAACUGGGCUCACUGGAGCAUAGUAGAGGCAGGUGGAAUUCCGGGUGUAGCGGUGGAAUGCGUAGAGAUCGGAGGAACACCAAAGGCGAAGGCAGUGUCCUGGGGAGUACCUGACGCUCAGGUGCGAAAGCCAGGGGAGCGGAACGGG
Molecule: ribosomal RNA, 254 nt
Filed under: uncultured bacterium
Lineage: Bacteria
Description: partial 16S ribosomal RNA
Rfam family: Bacterial small subunit ribosomal RNA
Source: RNAcentral